This 276-nucleotide unclassified non-coding RNA is filed under the name Hevea brasiliensis (rubber tree). The record is from RNAcentral. Lineage: Eukaryota; Viridiplantae; Streptophyta; Magnoliopsida; Malpighiales; Euphorbiaceae.
AAUGACUGCGGAUGCGAGAUCUCUGGUCCAUCAAGCAAGGAAUGAAGCAGCUGAAUUUCGUUUUAAAUGGGGAUAUGAGAUGCCGGUGGACGUAUUGGCUAAGUGGAUUGCGGACAAAGCACAGUUGUAUACACAACAUGCCUAUAUGAGACCUCUUGGUGUAGCUACGAUGAUUCUGGGUAUUGAUGAAGAAAAAGGACCUUAUCUUUUCAAAUGUGACCCAGCUGGUCAUUUUUUUGGACACAAGGCUACAAGUGCUGGUUCAAAAGAGCAAGA